UACGGAGGGUGCGAGCGUUGUUCGGAAUUACUGGGCGUAAAGGGCGCGUAGGCGGUUCGAUAAGUCAGCUGUGAAAACCAUGGGCUUAACUCAUGGCCUGCAGUUGAGACUGUCGGGCUGGAGUGUGGGAGAGGAGAGUGGAAUUCCUGGUGUAGCGGUGAAAUGCGUAGAUAUCAGGAGGAACACCGGUGGCGAAGGCGGCUCUCUGGACCACAACUGACGCUGAGGCGCGAAAGCUAGGGGAGCAAACAGG
Molecule: ribosomal RNA, 253 nt
Filed under: uncultured bacterium
Lineage: Bacteria
Description: partial 16S ribosomal RNA
Rfam family: Bacterial small subunit ribosomal RNA
Source: RNAcentral